AAACGACUCUCGGCAACGGAUAUCUCGGCUCACGCAUCGAUGAAGAACGUAGCAAAAUGCGAUACUUGGUGUGAAUUGCAGAAUCCCGUGAACCAUCGAGUAUUUGAACGCAAGUUGCGCCCUAAGCCAUCCGGUUGAGGGCACGCCUGCCUGGGCGUCACGC
RNAcentral lists this ribosomal RNA (163 nucleotides) under Taraxacum bessarabicum. Its description in RNAcentral is "5.8S ribosomal RNA". It matches the Rfam family "5.8S ribosomal RNA". Rfam says of the family: 5.8S ribosomal RNA (5.8S rRNA) is a component of the large subunit of the eukaryotic ribosome. The record is from RNAcentral. Lineage: Eukaryota; Viridiplantae; Streptophyta; Magnoliopsida; Asterales; Asteraceae.